This 531-nucleotide ribosomal RNA is filed under the name uncultured Borrelia sp. RNAcentral's name for it is "bacterial SSU rRNA". It matches the Rfam family "Bacterial small subunit ribosomal RNA", at positions 163 to 680 of the family's 1533-position model. Lineage: Bacteria; Pseudomonadati; Spirochaetota; Spirochaetia; Spirochaetales; Borreliaceae. The record is from RNAcentral.
CUAAUACCGAAUAAAGUCAAUUAAUUUGUUAAUUGAUGAAAGGAAGCCUUUAAAGCUUCGCUUGUAGAUGAGUCUGCGUCUUAUUAGCUAGUUGGUAGGGUAAAUGCCUACCAAGGCGAUGAUAAGUAACCGGCCUGAGAGGGUGAACGGUCACACUGGAACUGAGAUACGGUCCAGACUCCUACGGGAGGCAGCAGCUAAGAAUCUUCCGCAAUGGGCGAAAGCCUGACGGAGCGACACUGCGUGAAUGAAGAAGGUCGAAAGAUUGUAAAAUUCUUUUAUAAAUGAGGAAUAAGCUUUGUAGGAAAUGACGAAGUGAUGACGUUAAUUUAUGAAUAAGCCCCGGCUAAUUACGUGCCAGCAGCCGCGGUAAUACGUAAGGGGCGAGCGUUGUUCGGGAUUAUUGGGCGUAAAGGGUGAGUAGGCGGAUAUAUAAGUCUAUGCAUAAAAUACCACAGCUCAACUGUGGAACUAUGUUGGAAACUAUAUGUCUAGAGUCUGAUAGAGGAAGUUAGAAUUUCUGGUGUAAGG